RNAcentral lists this ribosomal RNA (255 nucleotides) under Pseudomonas oryzihabitans. RNAcentral's name for it is "partial 23S ribosomal RNA". It matches the Rfam family "Bacterial large subunit ribosomal RNA", at positions 2110 to 2364 of the family's 2925-position model. Lineage: Bacteria; Pseudomonadati; Pseudomonadota; Gammaproteobacteria; Pseudomonadales; Pseudomonadaceae. The record is from RNAcentral.
CUUUGCACUGGACUUUGAGCUUGCUUGUGUAGGAUAGGUGGGAGGCUUUGAAGCGUGGACGCCAGUCUGCGUGGAGCCAUCCUUGAAAUACCACCCUGGCAACCUUGAGGUUCUAACUCUGGUCCGUCAUCCGGAUCGAGGACAGUGUAUGGUGGGCAGUUUGACUGGGGCGGUCUCCUCCUAAAGAGUAACGGAGGAGUACGAAGGUGCGCUCAGACCGGUCGGAAAUCGGUCGUAGAGUAUAAAGGCAAAAGC